This is a long non-coding RNA of Hyaena hyaena (striped hyena), 391 nucleotides long. RefSeq lists it as uncharacterized. The record is from RefSeq and is a predicted model, not a curated record. Lineage: Eukaryota; Metazoa; Chordata; Mammalia; Carnivora; Hyaenidae. The transcript has 3 exons.
AAGCCAGGACUUCUAGCCUGAUGAAGGGAAGGCUGAAGGAACAUUUGGUGAUAGGUCACUGGAUGGCACAUCAGCAGUUUUCUGUCUCCUUCAAGAAGAAAGAAGGCACAGACAUCAAGAGAGGACUUUUCAGCAAGAACCCUUGGAGGAGAUCACUGUGAUAAGUCGCAUACUAUCAGAGAUUGUCCCACAGUAGGGCCCUUGAACACACAUACCAUGAAAGCCUGCCUUGGAUAGCGGGGAUCUCAGAUUUAAUGGGGCCACAGCCUGAGACUAGACCCAGCUUUAUUAAGUCCUCUUGCAUCAUCUCUCCCUCAAUGACAGCUUUUAAAAGCUAGCUUUUGGAGUUCUGGCAACAAAGGAGCUCUAUUGUGGAGGCGAAGGCUUUGAG